RNAcentral lists this ribosomal RNA (274 nucleotides) under uncultured bacterium. RNAcentral describes it as "partial 16S ribosomal RNA". It matches the Rfam family "Bacterial small subunit ribosomal RNA", at positions 523 to 796 of the family's 1533-position model. The record is from RNAcentral.
AUACGGAGGGUGCAAGCGUUAUUCGGAAUCACUGGGCGUAAAGGACACGUAGGCGGGAAGCCAAGUCUGAUGUGAAAUCCUACAGCUUAAUUGUAGAACUGCAUUGGAAACUGGUUACCUAGAGUAUGGGAGGGGGAGAUGGAAUUAGUGGUGUAGGGGUAAAAUCCGUAGAUAUCACUAGGAAUACCUAAAGCGAAGGCGAUCUCCUGGAACAUUACUGACGCUAAGGUGUGAAAGCGUGGGGAGCAAACGGGAUUAGAAACCCUAGUAGUCC